GGAAAUGUGUUGAUCAAAUGAAAGCUGCUAACUUAUCAUUCUAGCGGUUAAAUCCCGUUUACAUUUCUA
This 69-nucleotide transfer RNA is filed under the name Neotermes koshunensis. RNAcentral's name for it is "tRNA-Ser". The record is from RNAcentral. RNAcentral also lists the same sequence under 2 other names. Lineage: Eukaryota; Metazoa; Arthropoda; Insecta; Blattodea; Kalotermitidae.